RNAcentral lists this long non-coding RNA (347 nucleotides) under Mytilus galloprovincialis (Mediterranean mussel). The record is from RNAcentral. Lineage: Eukaryota; Metazoa; Mollusca; Bivalvia; Mytilida; Mytilidae.
UUUCAAAUCUUUCUGUUUGAACCCGUCGACCUGGAACUUUUCAAUUAUUGGUAAUAUUCAGGUCCUGGAAUUGAGUAUUUUUUAAUCAACAGCAUUGUCCAAUAAAGUUCAAAUCUUUGAUUCGCUGUUUUGCGUCAUGCCCGCUAACAAAUUGAAAACUGUACCUAUACGCCUUAGUCCAAAUUUUUAGUAUUCGUAUUGUUAUCUUAGAAAGUUUUACUAAUUAAAAAACUACAAUAGGGAACAAUUUGACAAUGAUUGAAUUUAGUUGUGUCGACUUUAUGAUUAUGACCCGUGUAUAUAGUAAAAUCAAAUACACCAUUUGGUGGUGCGCCUGUUAGAUGCGG